This 204-nucleotide ribosomal RNA is filed under the name Gilliamella sp. Fer1-1. RNAcentral's name for it is "partial 16S ribosomal RNA". It matches the Rfam family "Bacterial small subunit ribosomal RNA", at positions 1 to 214 of the family's 1533-position model. Lineage: Bacteria; Pseudomonadati; Pseudomonadota; Gammaproteobacteria; Orbales; Orbaceae. The record is from RNAcentral.
UUAAAUUGAAGAGUUUGAUCAUGGCUCAGAUUGAACGCUGGCGGCAGGCUUAACACAUGCAAGUCGAACGGUAACAUGAGUGCUUGCACUUGAUGACGAGUGGCGGACGGGUGAGUAAAGUAUGGGGAUCUGCCGAAUGGUGGGGGACAACAGUUGGAAACGACUGCUAAUACCGCAUAAAGUUGAGAGACCAAAGCAUGGGAC